Molecule: long non-coding RNA, 889 nt
Organism: Rana temporaria (common frog)
Lineage: Eukaryota; Metazoa; Chordata; Amphibia; Anura; Ranidae
Exons: 3
Source: RefSeq, a predicted model, not a curated record
GUUCGGCGCCCCCACCUCUGCAGGCGCCUGGGUGCAAUGCACCCUGCCUAGGAUCGGCCCUGUAGUUGGGGACAGAGAACCCGCUUGUGAGGGAGAGUUAGGAGGAGGUAGGGAGAGUGUUCUGGCCUGUGAGGGAUAGCUCAGGGUUCCUAUGGAGUUCUGUAUCAGCAAUCCUGGUUGGAUGUUGCAGAUAUAUCCCUCUGCUGAAGGAAUACCGUUGUUACCGGGUGUUUUAAAGCACCUAUUACAUGCCUAAAGCUGUUUAGGCAACAACGUUGUAUAUAUCAUACUUUACCACUAACGGUCUGUUCCACUAACCUGUGCGGAGACCUGUUUAACCUGGGUUAUCUAAUGCAUUCCACUGGGUAUUCUCUUCAUCCUUUAAAGAUCUGCUCCUGUUGGGUGGCUCUUGCCCUACUUUCAGGGUUCUUUGGGAAGACGGGUCACCUUGUUGCACCGCACCGGCAAUGAUGACUGGCAGUUUUUAAUAAUGUUUAUUUUCUUUUCAUAUGAUUAUGUGUUCUAUGUAUAAAAUUGUUUAACUAAUUGACAUCCUUUGAUGUUUUUUGUUCGUGUUAUGUAUGUUCACUACUAGACUUCUAUGCUCCUGAUGAAGCGUCCUGUACGCGAAACAUGUCGAGAGUAAAAGCAAGACUCACCAUUCCGCAUACCAAACUCAGUUUCAAGGACUAAAAGUUUAUAUACACCCUUCUGUGCUAUAUGAUCUCAUGUUAUGAGUAUAUUCGCAUAAGUUUAAGCUUUUUUGUAAUACCCUUUAUAAUAUGUACUGAGUUAGUAUGCCGAUGUCGUAUUGUUCUCACAAAGUUAUGUAUAAUCUCUUUUAUAUACUUUCUUUUAUGAAUAAAUAUUUAUAGAUUUUUUACAAUUA